GAAAUUCGAAGACGGGGAGCACGAAGGGGAGCACGGACGAAGGCAAGCCUCGUCCAUUCAUAUUAGCAUGGCGCCAUGGCCGAACCGGUGCACGCAGCGUGGUUAUGUAUCGCCUGCUGCGACCGCUAGCAACGGGCAGGCAAAUCAAUCGUGCUACACGCACUUGCAAGCUAGCCGAUUUGGAAAGUUUUCGGACAGGGUUUUCUUUUAACUUUUAUUAUUUUAUUACUGACUACCAAAUAUGUCUGUGUGUUGUAAUGGGAGAGUAAAUAUAUUUUUAUCCAAGCCAUUGUUUCCAUUUUGAUUCAAUUUUGGUUCUGAAUCUCUACUCCUAAUGGAAUAGUUGGUGAAUAGUCUCCACAAUUUAUUUUCGUUGGUCUUUUUUCGUCUCUCCUCCCUCCUUCGUCGAACCGAACCUCCUGGCCAUGCCUCCACGUUGUACACGCACAAACCUACGACAAAAAAACAGCUGAAAAAAACGGCAUCGAUUCGCACGCACGUACGAGCGAGGCCUCCUGCCCUCGAGCGAGAACCACUAGCACUCACGACCCGCUCAGCAGAUCGUUCGCCGCCGCCCUCCAUCCCUUCGCCGCCGCCGAUCCAUCCGUUCUUCGUGCCCGACGUCGCUGACCCCGCCUCCGCGCCGCUCGCCCGAGCCUUCCUCAGUUCCUCUCCGACGCGGCCGACAAGCCCCCGCAGCUCCUCCCCGUCGAAACCGCGCCCGUCGCCCAACGGCUCUUCCUCGAGUUCCCUGGCUCCGACGAGGGCCCGUCCAAGGCCAAGGGGAAGGGGCGACACGGUGGGAGAGGAGAAUGGAGGGAUCAGGGAGGCGGUGCAGAGGUUCGAGGGGUAGGAGGUCGAGGCGCUCGAGCGGAAGGAGGUCGCCUUCAGGCUCAUCGUUCAGAUGCUCGGGGGCGAGGGCGGGCUGGAGGCCGACAAGGUUGCCAAGGUCAGGAAAGCUGCCGCAUGGCAGGUCCGUUCGCUCACGGAUUUUCUCAAGAAUUAGGCAAUCAUCUCCUCGGACUCAGAGUAGUGAGGAGGGCAUGCGUCAGAGGCCAGUCGGCAGAGGGAGUUCAGAGAUAAUGCGUGUGUCCUCCUUGCUUAAGCACCAGCCUGAUGGGGACUUUGAGAGGUUGCCGCCGAUGGCGCGUCCAAACCAGAUGCAUCAUCAUCAGUCGCCCCCAAUGCCUAAUUUCCGUGGAAAUGGUUUUGGCCCGUGGAACCACGGGGCGCAUCCAGAGAGGGUAGGUUUUCCUCAAGGACCCGUGGGUUGGCAAGGAGCACCACAAAGCCCCUCUCCAUACAUUGUCAAGAAGAUUUUGCGGUUGGAGAUACCAACAGAUACUUACCCUAAUUUCAAUUUUAUUGGCCGUCUUCUUGGGCCAAAGGGAAACUCGUUGAAGAGGAUUGAAGCCACUACAGGUUGUCGUGUUUUUAUCAGAGGGAAGGGCUCAAUUAAAGAUCCUGGGAAGUAACCUACCACGCGCGCCGAGGCGAGGGCCUCGUGGACUCCGUCCAUCGCCGCUUGGCCGACGACCCUGCCGCUUGGCCGAGGACCUCGUGAUGUAUCAAUUAUUUCUCAGCUUGGCGCAUGCAUUACGGCAGCACGCCGCGCGCAGUUUCCUUGGAUUCUAUUUCAUCUCCUCCCGUCCGCUUCCUCUAAUUGUGAGUUUUGGUUGUAAUGUGUUUUACAGAUUCCCAUCUACUGUACUUCCUAUGUAGUGCAUAUCCCGUUCCUCCUUUUACAGGCUUCUCAAAUCAUUCGUUCGUUCGUGCUGGUCAUCCUCCUACAUCUGCCUGUCUCGCUCUCCGAUUGAUUAAUCGUGUUCAUUGGGAUUUAAAAAGAGGAACAUGGAUUUUUGUUGGUGACUUGUAAGCAGCAACAAGAUCUUGCAAUUUCUAAUUUUCUAGCCAUCCACGUGAGUACAGAUCAGGCGAGUACCUCGGGGCAGAGCCCGCGCUGCCGUACCUGAGCCCCUACAUGCGCGGCGAGAACCUGCUCGUCGGCGCAAACUUCGCGUCCACCGGCGUCGACAUCCUCAACGACACAGGCGUGCAAUUUGAUCGCGCAGCAGCUGCAGAACUUCCAGGACUACCAGCAGAGGCUGGCGGCGUACGUCGGCGAGGACGCGACAAGUGAGCGCAUGAGCCAGUCGCUGUUGCUCAUCACGCUUGGUGGCAACGACUUCGUCAACAACUACUGCCUGGUGCCCUUCUCCGCUAGGUCCCAGCAGUUCGAGAUCCACAGCUACAUCCCCUUCAUCAUCUCCGAGUACAAGAAAGUCCUCGCGGGUGAUAUGGAUGAAGGAAAAGAGGCCAGCAGUGCUGAGCUAAACAAUUCAGGGAGGUAUUGGAUUGGCCUCUGUAGAAACUAUGGCACCUAAUCUUGGGCCCCUAGAAGAAGGAAACUCAACAUGCGUGAUUCUCAUUAGAGGCAACCAGACCGUUGUUGAAAAUAUUGAUGAUUCCUGUUGUGUAUUCCCAAGGAAUGGUCAGGUUUAGUACUGACCGUUGCGGUGCGUAGAAGAAAGGUGCCACUUUCACUUAGUUCUCUCAGUUCUAAGUUGGGACUGCAAAAAUUUGAGGAUUUCCCCACAUGUGAGUUGCCUUGAUUAGUUUUGGCUUAGUUAUUGAAAUGAACUGGAAGUAACUUCUGAAUUUGUUUGACUUUGGACUUGCAUGAGACCUGAAGUUUCUGCUUCUAGCAUUUCUCUUUUGUAAGCAGCAUGGCAAACCCGGUUUCAAAGUAAAGACCUGAGGAAGAAUGUAGAUUGAUCACUGUGAUUUCAAGUCCUUCAGAGCUGGAGCUGUUAAGACUUGAGACAAAUAUAUACAGGGCCACAAGGGCCUACAAGAUCCAAUUCAUGUUUGACGGUUCGUCAAAAUAAACAAGGAGUAAUGAUGGGUAAAGAAGAAAGUUGAGGCACAUUAAUCAAACGCCAACCCACCUGCUAUUGGCACUAAAUGAGGAAGGAAAAAGAACAUUGUCCCUGAAGGCUCGAGAUACACAAACAGGCAACUGAGUUUGGGAAAGGUGGUUGUCUCCUUGACGCACACCAUGGUGCCCUUGUCUACUCUCUGUCUUCUUCCUUGGACAUGUAUUUUAUUUCAAGCUUUGACACCUUAUUUACUCGUAGUAGGUUCUCUCGUACCAUUUUUCGGUGGAGUUGUACUGGCAUCCUUGACUGAAGUUUCUUUCAACUGAGACAAAACAUGACAAGAAAGGGGAAGAACUAACCUACAUGGAGCUUGGUCAAGGUCGCCGCUCAUGUUUGAUGGCAUUGUUUCUGGUUCCACUGACGUUUGCCUGUUACCUAUGGCCCCGUUGCUGCUUUCCUCGAUAGGGCGUGGUCCAUCAGCCACUGCAUGCAGACAAUAGAAUUUAGGCCAGCAAUUGUCGCUUAUCUACUAUCUAUGCUACAGAUCGACCCAUAGACAGGGAAAGGAAGCGAUGGCUGGUGGGGAGAGGAGCCGGGGGACGUGUUGUGACGGGACAAGAGGCGCAGUGGCAGGGAGAGAAGUUGAAGACUACGCCAUGUGAGUUGCUGAAGCUGUGCCUUAUGCGGUGGGGAUAAGGGAUGUGUGAUGUGCUUGUGUGGUGAGAGACGAGGAGUGGCUUUUCCUUUUUGUGGGAGGCUGUUCAUAUUUGUCUAUUCUAUUUUUAUAUUCAAGAUACAUACAAUUAUUUAUCAUCAUUAUAAUCGAGAUAAUAAAUAUUUAUUUAUUC
Molecule: long non-coding RNA, 3727 nt
Organism: Triticum dicoccoides
Lineage: Eukaryota; Viridiplantae; Streptophyta; Magnoliopsida; Poales; Poaceae
Exons: 16
Source: RefSeq, a predicted model, not a curated record